RNAcentral lists this ribosomal RNA (301 nucleotides) under uncultured bacterium. RNAcentral describes it as "partial 16S ribosomal RNA". It matches the Rfam family "Bacterial small subunit ribosomal RNA", at positions 509 to 807 of the family's 1533-position model. The record is from RNAcentral.
CAGCAGCCGCGGUAAUACAGAGGGUGCGAGCGUUAAUCGGAUUUACUGGGCGUAAAGCGUGCGUAGGCGGCUUUUUAAGUCGGAUGUGAAAUCCCUGAGCUUAACUUAGGAAUUGCAUUCGAUACUGGGAAGCUAGAGUAUGGGAGAGGAUGGUAGAAUUCCAGGUGUAGCGGUGAAAUGCGUAGAGAUCUGGAGGAAUACCGAUGGCGAAGGCAGCCAUCUGGCCUAAUACUGACGCUGAGGUACGAAAGCAUGGGGAGCAAACAGGAUUAGAUACCCGUGUAGUCCAUGUCUCUUAUAC